RNAcentral lists this microRNA precursor (50 nucleotides) under Solanum tuberosum (potato). Its description in RNAcentral is "miR7999 stem-loop (stu-MIR7999)". Lineage: Eukaryota; Viridiplantae; Streptophyta; Magnoliopsida; Solanales; Solanaceae. The record is from miRBase by way of RNAcentral.
CUGGGUCACUUCUACGGGUCCUUCCUACGACCCGUAGAACUGCCCACGAC